UACGUAGGCAGCAAGCGUUGUUCGGAGUUACUGGGCGUAAAGAGUGCGUAGGCGGCGGCUCAAGUCUGGUGUGAAAUCUCCCUGGCUCAACCGGGAGGGGGCGCCGGAAACGGGGCGGCUUGGAGGGUGGGAGAGGCAGGCGGAAUUCCUGGUGUAGCGGUGAAAUGCGUAGAGAUCAGGAGGAACACCCGCGGUGGAGACGGCCUGCUGGACCACUACUGACGCUGAGGCACGAAAGCGUGGGGAGCAAACAGG
Molecule: ribosomal RNA, 255 nt
Filed under: uncultured bacterium
Lineage: Bacteria
Description: partial 16S ribosomal RNA
Rfam family: Bacterial small subunit ribosomal RNA
Source: RNAcentral